UACGUAGGGGGCAAGCGUUGUCCGGAAUUAUUGGGCGGAAAGAGCUCGUAGGCGGCUUAGUAAGUCGGCGGUGAAAUACCGAGGCUCAACCUCGGCACUGCCGUCGAUACUGCUAUGGCUAGAGUUUGGUAGAGGAGAACGGAAUUCCUGGUGUAGCGGUGAAAUGCGCAGAUAUCAGGAGGAACACCGGUGGCGAAGGCGGCAUCCUGGACCAAUAUUGACGCUGAGGAGCGAAAGCCAGGGGAGCAAACGGG
This 254-nucleotide ribosomal RNA is filed under the name uncultured bacterium. RNAcentral describes it as "partial 16S ribosomal RNA". It matches the Rfam family "Bacterial small subunit ribosomal RNA", at positions 524 to 776 of the family's 1533-position model. The record is from RNAcentral.